UAGCAUUAUAUAGCUUUUAGAAUUUGUCUAGCAGGUUUUCCAGUUUCUACCAGAAACCCCUA
Homo sapiens (human) is the source of this 62-nucleotide small nuclear RNA. The record is from Ensembl. Lineage: Eukaryota; Metazoa; Chordata; Mammalia; Primates; Hominidae.